GUGUAGUUUACAAUGAAAGGGGCCUCUGCAGGUUGUUGAGUCAAUCCCCAUCUCGGAGAGCCAGAUUCAACAUUAGAUACAAUCAAUAUCACCAUGCAUUUUUCUCAUGCCUAUGUUUGAAGGCUCAGAAAGAACCCCAAGUAUGCUGUGUCUGGACUUGGCAGCUCAAAACCAUGAAUCUUCAAAGGCCAAUGCUCACGCUGCUCACUUCUGAAGAAGACAGAACCAUGCUCAGAUGCAGAAAGCUUCGAAGAAGGGAACAAUGAAGCAGCAGCAUAGAGUGGAAGGGUGAAUCUGGUUUCUCGUGGACAGGCAAAAGAGGAGAAAUUCUACCUUGUGUAUAUGAGUUAUGGAGUGAACUGCAAAUAACGCUGUGAACAGGACAGUCAUUUUCAUGUAGUCACUCAUCUGAGGCUCUAUUCAGCUCUCACUAAAUCAAUGGAAAAAUUUUUGCUGACUUCACUGAACUGGAUGGCACCUCAGACACACGCAUCUUCUCUGUAAUGGGAGACAAUGCUUGCUUUCUUUUUCUCUGUAAAGACUGAGUAGCCUUGCCUACAUACGUAUGUGUAAACUGUGAAACACAUUGUUUUUUCUCCUCUUCUGCUUCAGCUGCAAAAGGCCUGCCACCAGUCGGUAUAUCCAUGUGUCUCUGUAUUCCUGGAAUGAGUUUGCAUUGAUUUCUUGUAAAUGUAGGAUUACCACCAUAAUGUGUAAUCACGUAUAAAAUUUGGACUUCCCACCACAUAGAUUUCAUCUUUCCUUCAUUUUGUAGAAUGUGUAAAUUAGUGCUUAGUAGUGAGCAGCAUUGAAAGGAAAAAUUUUAUUAAGACAU
Long non-coding RNA from Cuculus canorus (common cuckoo), 835 nucleotides. RefSeq lists it as uncharacterized. The record is from RefSeq and is a predicted model, not a curated record. Lineage: Eukaryota; Metazoa; Chordata; Aves; Cuculiformes; Cuculidae. The transcript is spliced from 4 exons.